Molecule: ribosomal RNA, 601 nt
Filed under: Priestia megaterium
Lineage: Bacteria; Bacillati; Bacillota; Bacilli; Caryophanales; Bacillaceae
Description: bacterial SSU rRNA
Rfam family: Bacterial small subunit ribosomal RNA
Source: RNAcentral
AUACAUGCAGUCGGGCGAACUGAUUAGAAGCUUGCUUCUAUGACGUUAGCGGCGGACGGGUGAGUAACACGUGGGCAACCUGCCUGUAAGACUGGGAUAACUUCGGGAAACCGAAGCUAAUACCGGAUAGGAUCUUCUCCUUCAUGGGAGAUGAUUGAAAGAUGGUUUCGGCUAUCACUUACAGAUGGGCCCGCGGUGCAUUAGCUAGUUGGUGAGGUAACGGCUCACCAAGGCAACGAUGCAUAGCCGACCUGAGAGGGUGAUCGGCCACACUGGGACUGAGACACGGCCCAGACUCCUACGGGAGGCAGCAGUAGGGAAUCUUCCGCAAUGGACGAAAGUCUGACGGAGCAACGCCGCGUGAGUGAUGAAGGCUUUCGGGUCGUAAAACUCUGUUGUUAGGGAAGAACAAGUACGAGAGUAACUGCUUGUACCUUGACGGUACCUAACCAGAAAGCCACGGCUAACUACGUGCCAGCAGCCGCGGUAAUACGUAGGUGGCAAGCGUUAUCCGGAAUUAUUGGGCGUAAAGCGCGCGCAGGCGGUUUCUUAAGUCUGAUGUGAAAGCCCACGGCUCAACCGUGGAGGGUCAUUGGAAACU